GAUGAACGCUGGCGGCGUGCCUAAUACAUGCAAGUCGAGCGAACGGACGAGAAGCUUGCUUCUCUGCUGUUAGCGGCGGACGGGUGAGUAACACGUGGAUAACCUACCUAUAAGACUGGGAUCACUUCGGGAAACCGGAGCUCAUACAGGAUAAUAUUUUGAACCGCAUGGUUCAAAAGUGAAAGACGGUCUUGCUGUCACUUAUAGAUGGAUCCGCGCUGCAUUAGCUAGUUGGUAAGGUAACGGCUUACCAAGGCAACGAUGCAUAGCCGACCUGAGAGGGUGAUCGGCCACACUGGAACUGAGACACGGUCCAGACUCCUACGGGAGGCAGCAGUAGGGAAUCUUCCGCAAUGGGCGAAAGCCUGACGGAGAAACGCCGCGUGAGUGAUGAAGGUCUUCGGAUCGUAAAACUCUGUUAUUAGGGAAGAACAUAUGUGUAAGUAACUGUGCACAUCUUGACGGUACCUAAUCAGAAAGCCACGGCUAACUACGUG
This 497-nucleotide ribosomal RNA is filed under the name uncultured bacterium. Its description in RNAcentral is "partial 16S ribosomal RNA". It matches the Rfam family "Bacterial small subunit ribosomal RNA", at positions 28 to 507 of the family's 1533-position model. The record is from RNAcentral.